Molecule: small nucleolar RNA, 82 nt
Filed under: Oryza punctata
Lineage: Eukaryota; Viridiplantae; Streptophyta; Magnoliopsida; Poales; Poaceae
Description: snoRNA snoZ242
Source: RNAcentral
UUGUUAACACAGUGAUAAUCUCAUCACAGCAGCAGGUCGAUCUGCAGUGCAGACCUGAACAUGAAAAUUCUGAAACUCUGAA